UACGUAGGGGGCUAGCGUUGUCCGGAAUCAUUGGGCGUAAAGAGCGUGUAGGCGGUCCGGUAAGUCCGCUGUGAAAGUCGGGGGCUCAACCCUCGAAUGCCGGCGGAUACUGUCGGGCUAGAGUACGGAAGAGGCGAGUGGAAUUCCUGGUGUAGCGGUGAAAUGCGCAGAUAUCAGGAGGAACACCUAUUGCGAAGGCAGCUCGCUGGGACGUAACUGACGCUGAGACGCGAAAGCGUGGGGAGCAAACAGG
Molecule: ribosomal RNA, 253 nt
Filed under: uncultured bacterium
Lineage: Bacteria
Description: partial 16S ribosomal RNA
Rfam family: Bacterial small subunit ribosomal RNA
Source: RNAcentral